UAAACGAUGUCGAUUUGGAGGUUGUGCCCUUGAGGCGUGGCUUCCGGAGCUAACGCGUUAAAUCGACCGCCUGGGGAGUACGGCCGCAAGGUUAAAACUCAAAUGAAUUGACGGGGGCCCGCACAAGCGGUGGAGCAUGUGGUUUAAUUCGAUGCAACGCGAAGAACCUUACCUGGUCUUGACAUCCACAGAACUUAGCAGAGAUGCUUUGGUGCCUUCGGGAACUGUGAGACAGGUGCUGCAUGGCUGUCGUCAGCUCGUGUUGUGAAAUGUUGGGUUAAGUCCCGCAACGAGCGCAACCCUUAUCCUUUGUUGCCAGCGGUCCGGCCGGGAACUCAAAGGAGACUGCCAGUGAUAAACUGGAGGAAGGUGGGGAUGACGUCAAGUCAUCAUGGCCCUUACGACCAGGGCUACACACGUGCUACAAUGGCAUAUACAAAGAGAAGCGACCUCGCGAGAGCAAGCGGACCUCAUAAAGUAUGUCGUAGUCCGGAUUGGAGUCUGCAACUCGACUCCAUGAAGUCGGAAUCGCUAGUAAUCGUAGAUCAGAAUGCUACGGUGAAUACGUUCCCGGGCCUUGUACACACCGCCCGUCACACCAUGGGAGUGGGUUGCAAAAGAAGUAGGUAGCUUAACCUUCGGGAGGGCGCUUACCACUUUGUGAUUCAUGACUGGGGUGAAGUCGUAACAAGGUAACCGUAGGGGAACCUGCGGUUGGAUCACCUCCUU
Molecule: ribosomal RNA, 729 nt
Filed under: Klebsiella pneumoniae
Lineage: Bacteria; Pseudomonadati; Pseudomonadota; Gammaproteobacteria; Enterobacterales; Enterobacteriaceae
Description: bacterial SSU rRNA
Rfam family: Bacterial small subunit ribosomal RNA
Source: RNAcentral